UACGUAGGGGGCAAGCGUUGUCCGGAUUUAUUGGGCGUAAAGAGCGUGUAGGCGGCCAGAUAGGUCGGUUGUGAAAACUGGAGGCUCAACCUCCAGACGUCUACCGAAACCCUCUGGCUAGAGUCCGGAAGAGGAGAAUGGAAUUCCUGGUGUAGCGGUGAAAUGCGCAGAUAUCAGGAAGAACACCCGUGGCGAAGGCGGUUCUCUGGGACGGUACUGACGCUGAGACGCGAAAGCGUGGGGAGCGAACAGG
RNAcentral lists this ribosomal RNA (253 nucleotides) under uncultured bacterium. RNAcentral describes it as "partial 16S ribosomal RNA". It matches the Rfam family "Bacterial small subunit ribosomal RNA", at positions 524 to 776 of the family's 1533-position model. The record is from RNAcentral.